UACAGAGGGGGCAAGCGUUGUUCGGAAUUACUGGGCGUAAAGGGCGCGUAGGCGGCCUUCUAAGUCGAACGUGAAAUCCCCGGGCUCAACCCGGGAACUGCGUCCGAUACUGGAAGGCUUGAAUUCGGGAGAGGGAAGCGGAAUUCCGGGUGUAGCGGUGAAAUGCGUAGAUAUCCGGAGGAACACCGGUGGCGAAGGCGGCUUCCUGGACCGACACUGACGCUGAGGCGCGAAAGCUAGGGGAGCAAACGGG
RNAcentral lists this ribosomal RNA (253 nucleotides) under uncultured bacterium. RNAcentral describes it as "partial 16S ribosomal RNA". It matches the Rfam family "Bacterial small subunit ribosomal RNA", at positions 524 to 776 of the family's 1533-position model. The record is from RNAcentral.